Molecule: non-coding RNA, 965 nt
Organism: Schizosaccharomyces pombe (fission yeast)
Lineage: Eukaryota; Fungi; Ascomycota; Schizosaccharomycetes; Schizosaccharomycetales; Schizosaccharomycetaceae
Source: the annotation of a GenBank genome assembly
CACCGCCAUCCCAAUUUUUUUUUUUUUUACCUUUUGAUUACAUUCUUUGUUCCCAUUUCGGCCUAAGAUAUGUUGAUAAGGUUAUCUCGUAUUUUUAGUAUGGUUCCAUGUCUCACACCGUCAUUUCCAUCGGUUUAGAUUGGUAAGAAGGACUAGAGCUUGUCGCAUUUUUUAUUUAUUUUAUUUUGUCUUCUCUUUCAAAUUUUUUAAGUAAUGAUCAUUGUUAUCAAGUUCUAUUGCCUUUCAUUAUUGUUAUUAUUCUUAUGAUUAUUAUGAUUCUUACACUUUUUUCGCACCAUCUUCCUUCUUACGAUCCAUCCAUGCAAUCCAUUAUACUCUCCUGUUGACUUGACCUUUUUUAUUCUACUUCUUCUCUCUUAGUGUUUCUAACGGAUUCAAUGUACGAUCCCUUGCGUAUUCCGGUAUUUCUUUUAUUAAGCACUGUUUUGAAAAAUUGGUUAUUGUAAGCUACGCAGUUUGGUAUCUGAUUUAAGGAUACGUAGAACUGCGGUGAGUUUUCCUUGUGAUCUAUUAUAUUACAAUACACAGGUUGUAUAAGUAGCAACUGAGUAUAGGUAUUGUAUUAACUGGGUUAUAAUGUUACCUAUCACUAAUAUAGCUCAUAACUGAACUGAGGAACGAGAUUCAGUUGUAACGCUAUUUAUAAUAUUUCUAAAUAGUUGUUAUCAACGGGUAUCUAUGUAUAUAGACGGAUAGUUACCCGUGAUUAUCAAUAAACGGAUCUUAGCUAGUAUUCCAACAUAUGGCAUAUAGUGAUACGCAGCGUAGUGUAUCAUAGCGUAGUGUAAUAUUGCUGACAGUUAUUUCAAUUUAAUUCCCUACGUUGCAAUGAUUUUCCCCACCAAAUUUGCUGUUUGUCCCACGCUCAUUUACGUAAGCGAACCAAAUAAGUUUAUUGCGUACAACGCUAUUUCCUUUUCCAUGACGGAAUAGACUUUCUUAAG